UACGUAGGUGGCGAGCGUUAUCCGGAUUUACUGGGCGUAAAGAGCGCGUAGGCGGUUCCGCAAGUUGGGCGUGAAAGCCCCCGGCUUAACUGGGGAGGGUCGUUCAAUACUGCGGGACUUGAGGGUGGAAAAGGAGACUGGAAUUCCCGGUGUAGUGGUGAAAUGCGUAGAUAUCGGGAGGAACACCUGUGGUGAAGACGGGUCUCCGGGCCAUUUCUGACGCUGAGGCGCGAAAGCGUGGGGAGCGAACGGA
This 253-nucleotide ribosomal RNA is filed under the name uncultured bacterium. Its description in RNAcentral is "partial 16S ribosomal RNA". It matches the Rfam family "Bacterial small subunit ribosomal RNA", at positions 524 to 776 of the family's 1533-position model. The record is from RNAcentral.